RNAcentral lists this long non-coding RNA (419 nucleotides) under Capra hircus (goat). RNAcentral's name for it is "lncRNA (ENSCHIG00000006273.1)". The record is from RNAcentral. Lineage: Eukaryota; Metazoa; Chordata; Mammalia; Artiodactyla; Bovidae.
CUCUGAGUUAUAUAAAAUGCUCUACUUUCUCUAUAAGUGUCAUGCUAUUUUUUCCCCCCAGGAGAGCCAUGAUCUCUUGCAGACAAAAUUAUUUUGUGGGAGUCUGAAUGGAAUCCAUCAGAAAUAUCUGGAAGAACAGUCUUUUUCAUGGGCAGAUAUCCUCAUGAAGCAAACGCCUGUCCUAUUGUCCUUGCAUGCUGAGCUGGUCCAAAUUCUCCAGAGUGCAGUGGUCAUGUGAAGGGAAACGCAGAAGCUGUGUGCUGAAAAGCUGGAUUCUGAAUACAGGAGAGAGACUACCCGGCUGACCCACAGGUUUGCAUUUUAAGGCUGUGAAUCCACUACUCUAAAUUAGGAGUCACAAAAUUGUUGAUAGCAAUCACCAGCCCAGCCACAUAAUUCUCGAGGAAGCCUAAAAACUG